UUUGCCAUGCUAAAACUACUUGUGAGUC
This 28-nucleotide small RNA is filed under the name Bombyx mori (domestic silkworm). RNAcentral's name for it is "ovarian small RNA-38400". Lineage: Eukaryota; Metazoa; Arthropoda; Insecta; Lepidoptera; Bombycidae. The record is from RNAcentral.